UGGAGUAACGAACAUCCAGGGUGAU
RNAcentral lists this non-coding RNA (25 nucleotides) under Rattus norvegicus (Norway rat). The record is from RNAcentral. Lineage: Eukaryota; Metazoa; Chordata; Mammalia; Rodentia; Muridae.